RNAcentral lists this ribosomal RNA (224 nucleotides) under uncultured Staphylococcus sp. RNAcentral's name for it is "partial 16S ribosomal RNA". It matches the Rfam family "Bacterial small subunit ribosomal RNA", at positions 116 to 334 of the family's 1533-position model. Lineage: Bacteria; Bacillati; Bacillota; Bacilli; Caryophanales; Staphylococcaceae. The record is from RNAcentral.
CGUGGAUAACCUACCUAUGAGACUGGGAUAACUUCGGGAAACCGGAGCUAAUACCGGAUAAUAUAUUGAACCGCAUGGUUCAAUAGUGAAAGACGGUUUUGCUGUCACUUAUAGAUGGAUCCGCGCCGCAUUAGCUAGUUGGUAAGGUAACGGCUUACCAAGGCAACGAUGCGUAGCCGACCUGAGAGGGUGAUCGGCCACACUGGAACUGAGACACGGUCCAG